CAGUCGAGCGGUAGAGAGAACUUGCUUCUCUUGAGAGCGGCGGACGGGUGAGUAAUGCCUAGGAAUCUGCCUAGUGGUGGGGGAUAACGUUCGGAAACGGACGCUAAUACCGCAUACGUCCUACGGGAGAAAGCGGGGGAUCUUCGGACCUCGCGCCAUUAGAUGAGCCUAGGUCGGAUUAGCUAGUUGGUGAGGUAAUGGCUCACCAAGGCGACGAUCCGUAACUGGUCUGAGAGGAUGAUCAGUCACACUGGAACUGAGACACGGUCCAGACUCCUACGGGAGGCAGCAGUGGGGAAUAUUGGACAAUGGGCGAAAGCCUGAUCCAGCCAUGCCGCGUGUGCGAAGAAGGUCUUCGGAUUGUAAAGCACUUUAAGUUGGGAGGAAGGGUAGUAACCUAAUACGUUGCUACUUUGACGUUACCGACAGAAUAAGCACCGGCUAACUUCGUGCCAGCAGCCGCGGUAAUACGAAGGGUGCAAGCGUUAAUCGGAAUUACUGGGCGUAAAGCGCGCGUAGGUGGUUCAGUAAGUUGGAAGUGAAAUCCCCGGGCUCAACCUGGGAACUGCUUUCAAAACUGCUGAGCUAGAGUACGGUAGAGGGUGGUGGAAUUUCCUGUGUAGCGGUGAAAUGCGUAGAUAUAGGAAGGAACACCAGUGGCGAAGGCGACCACCUGGACUGAUACUGACACUGAGGUGCGAAAGCGUGGGGAGCAAACAGGAUUAGAUACCCUGGUAGUCCACGCCGUAAACGAUGUCAACUAGCCGUUGGAAUCCUUGAGAUUUUUAGU
This 790-nucleotide ribosomal RNA is filed under the name uncultured bacterium. RNAcentral describes it as "bacterial SSU rRNA". It matches the Rfam family "Bacterial small subunit ribosomal RNA", at positions 59 to 844 of the family's 1533-position model. The record is from RNAcentral.